Molecule: ribosomal RNA, 458 nt
Filed under: uncultured bacterium
Lineage: Bacteria
Description: bacterial SSU rRNA
Rfam family: Bacterial small subunit ribosomal RNA
Source: RNAcentral
AUUGAACGCUGGCGGCAUGCCUUACACAUGCAAGUCGAACGGCAGCACGGGGGCAACCCUGGUGGCGAGUGGCGAACGGGUGAGUAAUACAUCGGAACGUGCCCCGUAGCGGGGGACAACCAGUCGAAAGACUGGCUAAUACCGCAUACGCUCCACGGAGGAAAGCAGGGGAUCGCAAGACCUUGCACUAUGGGAGCGGCCGAUGCCCGAUUAGCUAGUUGGUGAGGUAAAGGCUCACCAAGGCAACGAUCGGUAGCUGGUCUGAGAGGACGACCAGCCACACUGGGACUGAGACACGGCCCAGACUCCUACGGGAGGCAGCAGUGGGGAAUAUUGGACAAUGGGCGCAAGCCUGAUCCAGCGAUGCCGCGUGUGUGAAGAAGGUCUGCGGGUUGUAAAGCACUUUCAGUAGGGAAGAAAGCCGAGUGCUAAUAUCACUCGGUCUUGACGUUACUUAC